RNAcentral lists this ribosomal RNA (253 nucleotides) under uncultured bacterium. Its description in RNAcentral is "partial 16S ribosomal RNA". It matches the Rfam family "Bacterial small subunit ribosomal RNA", at positions 524 to 776 of the family's 1533-position model. The record is from RNAcentral.
CACGUAGGGCGCAAGCGUUGUCCGGAAUUAUUGGGCUUAAAGAGCUCGUAGGCGGUCUGUUGCGUCCGCUGUGAAAACUCGGGGCUUAACCCCGAGCCUGCAGUGGAUACGGGCAGACUAGAGGUAGGUAGGGGAGAAUGGAAUUCCCGGUGUAGCGGUGAAAUGCGCAGAUAUCAGGAAGAACACCCGUGGCUAAGGCGGCUCUCUAGUCCGGUACUGACGCUGAGACGCGAAAGCGUGGGGAGCGAACAGG